Molecule: ribosomal RNA, 505 nt
Filed under: uncultured Bacteroidales bacterium
Lineage: Bacteria; Pseudomonadati; Bacteroidota; Bacteroidia; Bacteroidales
Description: bacterial SSU rRNA
Rfam family: Bacterial small subunit ribosomal RNA
Source: RNAcentral
UCCUGGCUCAGGAUGAACGCUAGCGGACAGGCUAACACAUGCAAGUCGAGGGGCGAGCGGGGUUGUAGCAAUACAACUGCCGGCGACCGGCGCACGGGUGAGUAACACGUAUGUAACCUGCCCUCCUGCAAGGGGGAUAAGCGGAAGAAAUUCCGUCUAAUACCGCAUAAUACAAUUUGGAGACAUCUCCGGGUUGUCAAAGGAGUGAUCCGGCAGAGGAUGGACAUGCGGCGCAUUAGCUAGUCGGCGGGGUAACGGCCCACCGAGGCUACGAUGCGUAGGGGUUCUGAGAGGAAGGUCCCCCACACUGGUACUGAGACACGGACCAGACUCCUACGGGAGGCAGCAGUGAGGAAUAUUGGUCAAUGGGCGGAAGCCUGAACCAGCCAAGUCGCGUGAGGGAAGACGGUCCUAUGGAUUGUAAACCUCUUUUGCAGGGGAGCAAGGCGCGGUACGUGUACCGCGAAGGAGAGUACCCUGAGAAAAAGCAUCGGCUAACUCCGUG